This 107-nucleotide ribosomal RNA is filed under the name Mesocricetus auratus (golden hamster). The record is from RNAcentral. Lineage: Eukaryota; Metazoa; Chordata; Mammalia; Rodentia; Cricetidae.
UGGAUCAGUUACAACACCCUGAACAGACCUGAUCUCAGAAGCUAAGCAGGGUUGGGCAUGGUUAGUACUUGGAUGGGAGACAUUUGCAAUAAUUUUUAUUAUUCUGA